Molecule: ribosomal RNA, 239 nt
Filed under: uncultured bacterium
Lineage: Bacteria
Description: partial 16S ribosomal RNA
Rfam family: Bacterial small subunit ribosomal RNA
Source: RNAcentral
CCGGCGCACGGGUGAGUAACACGUAUCCAACCUGCCGUCUACUCUUGGACAGCCUUCUGAAAGGAAGAUUAAUACAAGGUGGCAUCAUGAGUCCGCAUGUUCACAUGAUUAAAGGUAUUCCGGUAGACGAUGGGGAUGCGUUCCAUUAGAUAGUAGGCGGGGUAACGGCCCACCUAGUCUUCGAUGGAUAGGGGUUCUGAGAGGAAGGUCCCCCACAUUGGAACUGAGACACGGUCCAA